GUGGGGAAUCUUGCGCAAUGGGCGAAAGCCUGACGCGGCCAUGCCGCGUGAAUGAUGAAGGUCUUAGGAUUGUAAAAUUCUUUCACCGGGGACGAUAAUGACGGUACCCGGAGAAGAAGCCCCGGCUAACUUCGUGCCAGCAGCCGCGGUAAUACGAAGGGGGCUAGCGUUGCUCGGAAUUACUGGGCGUAAAGGGCGCGUAGGCGGACAGUUUAGUCAGAGGUGAAAGCCCAGGGCUCAACCUUGGAAUUGCCUUUGAUACUGGCUGUCUUGAGUACGGGAGAGGUGAGUGGAACUCCGAGUGUAGAGGUGAAAUUCGUAGAUAUUCGGAAGAACACCAGUGGCGAAGGCGACUCACUGGCCCGUUACUGACGCUGAGGCGCGAAAGCGUGGGGAGCAAACAGGAUUAGAAACCCUGGUAGUCC
Molecule: ribosomal RNA, 425 nt
Filed under: uncultured bacterium
Lineage: Bacteria
Description: partial 16S ribosomal RNA
Rfam family: Bacterial small subunit ribosomal RNA
Source: RNAcentral